UACGUAGGGGGCAAGCGUUGUCCGGAAUCAUUGGGCGUAAAGCGCGUGUAGGCGGCUCGAUAAGUCUGCUGUGAAAGUCCAGGGCUCAACCCUGGGAUGCCGGUGGAUACUGUCGAGCUCGAGUCCGGAAGAGGAGUGUGGAAUUCCUGGUGUAGCGGUGAAAUGCGCAGAUAUCAGGAGGAACACCAAUAGCGAAGGCAGCACUCUGGUACGUGACUGACGCUGAGACGCGAAAGCGUGGGGAGCAAACAGG
This 253-nucleotide ribosomal RNA is filed under the name uncultured Conexibacter sp. RNAcentral describes it as "partial 16S ribosomal RNA". It matches the Rfam family "Bacterial small subunit ribosomal RNA", at positions 524 to 776 of the family's 1533-position model. Lineage: Bacteria; Bacillati; Actinomycetota; Thermoleophilia; Solirubrobacterales; Conexibacteraceae. The record is from RNAcentral.